CAGGGAUUGCCUUAGUAACGGCGAGUGAAGCGGCAAAAGCUCAAAUUUGAAAUCUAGCACUUUCAGUGUUCGAGUUGUAAUUUGAAGAAGGUAACUUUGGAAUUGGCUCUUGUCUAUGUUCCUUGGAACAGGACGUCACAGAGGGUGAGAAUCCCGUGCGAUGAGAUGUCCAAUUCUAUGUAAAGUGCUUUCGAAGAGUCGAGUUGUUUGGGAAUGCAGCUCUAAGUGGGUGGUAAAUUCCAUCUAAAGCUAAAUAUUGGCGAGAGACCGAUAGCGAACAAGUACAGUGAUGGAAAGAUGAAAAGAACUUUGAAAAGAGAGUGAAAAAGUACGUGAAAUUGUUGAAAGGGAAGGGCUUGAGAUCAGACUUGGUAUUUUGUGUUCCUUAUCCUUCUUGGAUUAGGUUCCUCACAGCUUACCGGGCCAGCAUCGGUUUGGAUGGCAGGAUAAUGACAUUGGAAUGUAGCUUUGCUUCGGUGAAGUGUUAUAGACUUUGUUGAUACUGCCUAUCUAGACCGAGGACUGCGUCUUUGACUAGGAUGCUGGCGUAAUGAUCUUAAGCCGCCCGUCUUGAAACACGGACC
RNAcentral lists this ribosomal RNA (584 nucleotides) under Dujonia oleophila. Its description in RNAcentral is "[Candida] oleophila partial large subunit ribosomal RNA". It matches the Rfam family "Eukaryotic large subunit ribosomal RNA", at positions 69 to 667 of the family's 3401-position model. The record is from RNAcentral. Lineage: Eukaryota; Fungi; Ascomycota; Pichiomycetes; Serinales; Debaryomycetaceae.